GAUGAACGCUAGCGGAAGGCUUAAUACAUGCAAGUCGAGCGGUAGGUGGCUUCGGCCAUUGAGAGCGGCGCACGGGUGAGUAACGCGUACAUGACCUGCCUGUCAGAAGGGGAUAGCCCUGGGAAACUGGGAUUAAUACCCUAUGGUAUUGAUAUUAUGAAUGAUAUCAAUUAAAGUUGAGGCGCUGACAGAUGGAUGUGCGUCUGAUUAGCUAGUUGGUAGGGUAACGGCCUACCAAGGCGACGAUCAGUAGGGGGCGUGAGAGCGUGGUCCCCCACACGGGUACUGAGACACGGACCCGACUCCUACGGGAGGCAGCAGUAAGGAUAUUGGUCAAUGCCCGCAAGGGUGAACCAGCCAUUCCGCGUGGAGGAUGAAGGCCCUAUGGGUUGUAAACUGCUUUUACACCGGAGAAAACCCCCUUACGUGUAAGGGGCUGAUAGUAUGGUGAGAAUAAGCAUCGGCUAACUUCGUGCCAGCAGCCGCGGUAAU
This 492-nucleotide ribosomal RNA is filed under the name uncultured bacterium. Its description in RNAcentral is "bacterial SSU rRNA". It matches the Rfam family "Bacterial small subunit ribosomal RNA", at positions 28 to 524 of the family's 1533-position model. The record is from RNAcentral.